This 32-nucleotide non-coding RNA is filed under the name Rattus norvegicus (Norway rat). The record is from RNAcentral. Lineage: Eukaryota; Metazoa; Chordata; Mammalia; Rodentia; Muridae.
AUCCUACUCCUUGAGCUUCCUGUGGUCUGUGU